This is a long non-coding RNA of Syngnathoides biaculeatus (alligator pipefish), 677 nucleotides long. RefSeq lists it as uncharacterized. The transcript is spliced from 6 exons. The record is from RefSeq and is a predicted model, not a curated record. Lineage: Eukaryota; Metazoa; Chordata; Actinopteri; Syngnathiformes; Syngnathidae.
AAUUCCAACAACUUCUUCCUCCUUGCAAUUAACUUCUUUAACAAUUCAAGUGCAACAUCCUACCAAUUUUUUUGUCUUGAGUUUGUUGCCACAGUCUGGUGUCAGGACAAGUUGGAUUAUGGUUUAAUGUCCUCCAAUUCUGAAAUGAAAAAUGGAAAGACAGGGGGACAGUGGUGGGACCAGGACCAGAUCCUCGGCGGCUUCAGAGAAAGACAACAAAAAACAAAAAAUGAGUGUCACGAAAAGCAUCAUAAAUGAACCAUUUAAAGUUUCCGAAGCAAAGCCUCUUCGGUCACAUAACACACCAGACACCUUCCGCCAGCUGUUCCAACCUGCUUGGACCCGUUUCUUCACCAUGCAAUGAAGGCACAAAAGAAAGAAAAACAAGAGAGGCCAGUCCAUUAGGCAUGUGACUGGACGUGUUCCCCAAGCCAUGAACUGCUGGCCAAAUACUCAAAUGGGUGAAACGCUCUUUGGGGCUUUUGAGAUAAAAACUGAGCCGACGGGUAGCAGUCAUGAAGACACAAAUGAAGACUUUCCCAGCUACUGAGGAAAUCAGGGACAACAUGCAAACUCCACACAGGCGGGGGCAGGAUCAAGCCCGGGUCCUCCGAACUGUGAAGCCAACGCUUUACGAGCUGAUCCACCGUGCUGCCUCCUGAAAUUCUCAUAGGAAA